This 80-nucleotide transfer RNA is filed under the name Rhamnusium bicolor. RNAcentral describes it as "tRNA-OTHER". The record is from RNAcentral. Lineage: Eukaryota; Metazoa; Arthropoda; Insecta; Coleoptera; Cerambycidae.
GCAUGGUAGCCGAGUGGAUAAUGCGCUUAUAGCUAUUCACUCGGUACUGUAUGUCGAUGGUUCGAUUCCAUCCUGAAGCA